Molecule: RNA transcript, 9506 nt
Organism: Homo sapiens (human)
Lineage: Eukaryota; Metazoa; Chordata; Mammalia; Primates; Hominidae
Gene: FTCDNL1
Gene name: formiminotransferase cyclodeaminase N-terminal like
Exons: 5
Source: RefSeq, marked validated
GGAGCCGGCGGCAGACGCUGCGCGCGGGCCACGCGCGGCGGCGGAGGCUGCGCGCGGGCCACGCGCGGCGGCGACUUGGGCUGGGCGGUCGCCCUGCCCCACCGCCCUUCGGCGCUCGCAGGUCCGCUCCCCUCCCAAACCGCAGAGCGGCAGGCGCGGCCGCUGGUUCGAGAGCUCGGCCGGGGCAGCGCAGCCGCCGGCUGCCCCUCGCUCCCAGGCGCCACAACCCCGCGCCCUCGCCGCUGCUGCGUCCCGCGAGACCUGUGGGGAGGCCGGGAGUCACUUCGGGUUCCCUUUCAGCCCACGUGGUCCUGGGACACUCCACCCAGGAACCUAGUCGGCACCGCGCAGGGAAUCCCAGCAGCGGGGUUCUGGCCCCAGCACGCGUUGCGGCAGCCUGGCGAGCGUCCUUGCGGCCUCCAAGUGCCGGUGGGGUGCGUGCGCAGGGGGCAGAAAAAUCAUGUCUUCUUCCAGAGUGGGGCUCCGUUUGGCUGCCUGUUUACUAAACGUUUCAGAAGCCGGAAGAAAAUACAUUGUUGAGAACAUAGCAAAAGCAGCUCUUCUUGACAAAAAUGGAAAGAAACAUCCUCAAGUUUCAGUGCUCAAUAUAUUUUCCGAUCAAGACUACAAGAGAUCAGUCAUUACAAUAGCAACUUCUGUUGAUAAGUUGGCACAGAAAGACCCCACUCAGAAGGUACCACACCUGGCUGCAUGGCUUUAGACCAGUAACUCACAUGAUGAACAAUGUAAUGUGUCUAGAGAAGUGCUGGGCUUGCUGAGGGAGGAGGAGAAUUGUGUCCUGAAGGUGCUGCUGGACCCACCUAACAUGGGUUGUGGAAAGAGGGGGAACAGUGGAGAAUGAGUGGAUAUUACCCAGUGCUGCCAUUAUUAGCAGCAGCUAGGCACAUGAGCGUGGAUAUCUGGAGCAGAAAAAGGAAGACUGGAGUCACUGACUCAGAUCUAAGCCACUGAUUUCCCAAGCUGCAGGAAUGUUGGAGACUGAAACUGUGCAGCUGAGUCCCCACAGGAAAUUGCUCCUGGCCUUAACGGAGUUGCUUCCCUCAAGUUUUCAUCAGUUCCCAGGGAAAUGACUGGUCAGUGUAAGGAAACAAAGGCCAGCCUCCUUGCCUCAAUUUGGGCCAACUCUGAUGGGCCGUUAUAUCUGAAGACAUCUCAAGAAGUCUGUGGGGGAUUGGCUGAGUCUGCUACAACAACAUUGUUUUCAACUUUUCCUUCUGCUUAAUAUUACUGGCUUCACUCCCUCACACGUAUCACUCCUGAGCAUUCUCUAAUAAACGUUCUCCAAAACAGGGGUUGCAGGCUUAGAAUCUAAUCACCAAAGCAUUUGGUGUCAGGAGUGGUUGGAGAACGCAGACAAUGAAUGUGAUUUUGGAGCUGCAUUACUUGCUGGCCAGCUGGCAAUAUGGAAACUAUUGCUGGUGUCAGGUGAAACAUGGAAGAUCCCUGGCAUUCUAUAGCACUGAAACUAUUAUUACUUGAUCAGUGGUGAACAGGGAUGGGAUAGCAGUAGAAGGAAUGCACUUAAAUAUCUCAGGGUUUGUUAGAUUCUGAGAGGACUGGUACUUAUGAGGAUGAUGGAAUUGAAUGGCUGUUGUGGACUGCAAUCUCAUGCCCUGGAGAAAGACAGUGAAUGACUUUGAGUCAGUAAUCAGUAAUUUGAGAGAUACUGUGAAUGUCAGAGGAGCUCUUUAGGAACAUAUAAAGAGAUUCUUAUCUCUGUGAUCAAGGACAGAAAAACCUGAGGGUCAGUUCUAGGCCAUAAUUUUCAGGAUGGCAAAGCUCCAUAGAAGGUUGAAGUCUCAGAUGCAGAAAGUCUAUCAUGUCAAGGCCAUGCCCUGGUUGAGAGUCUUAGAAAGGGGAUACCUGGGUGGGUGCACUAAAAAAAACCCUUAAAACCCGUUUUGCCUGGAACUCUCUGAGCUGGUAAAUGUUCAAGGCUAGCAUGCCCACCCCCUAAAGCCCCCACCAUUAAAAACUGCAGAGGCCUGUGCUUUGUAAGACAACAUGUACCCCUCAGGAAUUACCUCCACCACCCGUCCUGGCCUAGUAUGAGACAAAUAGAGUCAAUUCCAACAUAAUCUGUCCAGGAAAGAUGGAGCCUGCUAAGGGAGGAAAGGGACAAUAUAAUAAAUCAGCUGUGACACCUGGCCACAUAAUCCAUAUGGGACUGGAUCCUGAAGAUGCUGAAUUUGUAGGGCAGAGCAUGAGGUUGGGUAAGGGAGAGCAUAUUGAUAGUGGACCACUGUCCUAGUCUACAGUAUUUAAUGCCCUGACAAAAAUGCUGGUUGCAUUUGCACCUUCUAACACACGGCUAGGAUGGCUCUUGGAAGACUGGAGAAGGUUAUGACCCACACUAAAUAGAAAAGCCAGAACUUUUGUGUAGAAGAUGGUAGAAAAGGACCAAAAGGCCCCAAGGAUGAGUACAUUCAAGAAUGGAUGUAUUACAAAACAUUGCAAAUACUCCCAGCUGACUACAUUCCAGGGACAGGACAGAGGACACUCUAUUGACUAAAGUGAUAUGUAAUGCAUCACUCAGACAGGGACCAGCAUCACUGAGAAGUUCAGUGGAGGCUUUCUCUGUAAGCCAGGGACCUGCUGCUAGAGAACUGGGCUCCCUCACUACAACAGGGAUGAUGGGAUCCUGAAAUCAUAAAGGCCAGGUGGUGGUGCUUAAUAUCAGAAGCGAGAUGCAAUGCAAUUAUCAUAAUGAAAAGCAAUGUCAUAAUAGUAGUUGGGGGGAUGUGACCCACACAGAGCCAUGGAGAUGGUUUAUUGGACAUAGCAAGAUAGAUGGACAGUCAUCAAGGGAAUCACUCAAUCUAUACAAUUAAAAGAAAUCAAGGAGGCUAAGUGCAGGUGUCCCUCUAAAGAGUCACAGUCCCUUAUCAGUGUCUGGACAUGAGCCACUUCUCAGACUGGAUGCCACUGACUGAGGGAGAGGCCAGAUCUCCAGGAGGAAGGACCUGCAAAAUCAUGGCAAAUAUAUAUGACAAUGACUCCUACAGAUUUUCCCCAAAGGGACCUAUGGCCAUUUAUUCAGGUAACCUUACAAUGGGGAAAGAGUAGUACUCAGACACUUGUGAGUACUUCUGGAUACAGGGUCAAGGUAGCACUGAUACCUAGGGAGGUAAAGGGUUAUUGUGGCCCUCCUAAGAAUGGGGGUAGAUGGGGACUGGUAAUAAAAUGGAGUCCAAGCCUAGGCCCAACUCUUAGUGUAUGUUUGUGUAUAUGCAUAUACGUAUAGUUGGGAUAUAUAUGCUGAUAGCUAGUGAAACCCUCCACAUUGAUCCUUUGGCUUGAGAGUGAAGAGUUACCAUAGUGGGGAAGAAUUUGAAACUGUCCCCACCCCUAUUACAACAAGAUAAUAAAUAAAAGGCAAUGUUUUGUUUAGGGGAAAUGGCAGCAAUUAAUACCAGCCUUACAGGGGUAGUGAGCCUCAUCAUAUCCCCAUUAAAUUAAUCAGUUUCUGGCCAAACAAAAAAGACAAGAAAACCACAAACAAACAAAACAGGUUAACAGUUGACUUCUGCCAACUCAACCAGGUAGUAGCUCCACUUGCAAUUACUGCGCCAGAGUAGUAUCUUACCCAGCCAAUGAACACAGCUAAUUAUUAAUACAGGGCGUGUGGCUACAGAUCUGGCAAAUGUGCUCUUUCCCAUCUUUCUCAGAAAGGAGAAGCGGAAGUGGUUUACGUUCACAUGGAACAGACGACAGAAUACAUUUAAGGUCUUAUCUUGAGGCUAUGUUAACUCUUCCUUUUCUGUGAUAAUAUAAUCUGAAGGGACCCAAAUCAUCUGAAUGUCCUGAACAUCAUCACAUUGAUCCACUAUAUUGAUGGCAUUGUGUUCAUUAGACUGGAUGACCAAGAAGGGGCAGAUGUAUUGGAGGCCUUGGUAAGACACGUGCUUCAGAGGGUGGGAGAUAAACCCCACGAUGAUUCAGAGUGUGGGGUCAUGGGGAGGAUUAGGGCUCCUGUGUAGAUAUAGAGCAUACUGACAUUUACUUAACCCCUACUAUAUGUCAUACCUUGGAAAUGUGUCCCCUGCUCUUUGGGACCCUGACAGAGAAAACUAGAGUUAAGUGCCCAGAAAGAGGAAGCCCAACGUGUCACAAGAUGAUUUCAAUUACAGCAGUUGUCUCCCUUAUCUGCAGUUUCGCUUUCCGAAGUUUUGGUUACUGUUAGUCAACGGUGGUGCAAAAACAUUAGGUGGAAAGUUCCAGAGAUAAACAAUUUAUAAGCUUUAAGUUGUAUGCUACUCUAAGUAGUGUGAUAAAAUCUCCUGCCAUCCUGCUUUGUCCUGCUCCAGAUGUGAAUCAUCCCUUUGUCUAGCAUAUCCACACUGUCUAUGCCACAUGCUCAUUAGUCACUUAGAAGACACCUUGGUUAUCAGAUUGACUCUCACAGUAUCGCAGUGUUUGUGUUUAAGAAACCCUUAUUCUGCUUAAUAAUGGCCCCAAAGUGUAAGAGCAGUGAUGCUGGCAUAUUGUUAUAAUUGUCCAGUUUUAUUAUUAGCUACUGCUGUUGAUCUCUCACUGUAUCUAAUUUAUAAAUUAAACUUUAUCAUGGGUAUGUAUAUAUAGGAUAAAACAUAGUGUAUACAGAGCUUGGUACUAUUAGAAGAUUCAGGCAUCCACUGGAGUCUUGGAACAUAUCUCCCAUGGAUAAGGGGGGAAGUAGUAUAUUCUAAUUCUACUGCUUUAAUUGUAGGUAGUAUUCUCUUAAAAUCUAAAUGAUAUACAACGCCAGUUCUCUACAAGAAAAUCAUAACAUUGCUUGCUGUCAUUGGGUGGUAUGGAAAUGAUCUUUUGCCUAGAGUUUAUAAAGAAUCUUUUACUUAAUGAGCUAAAUGACCAUGAAUAAUACAUUUAAAUUAUGACAUACUUUUCCUAUUUACCAUUUGCUUUUGUUCUUUUAUACCAUAAGAAAUUAAUGAGGCUGAGAGUCUUAAACUGUGUUUUAUGUAUUUAAAAUAAUUAUGAUUAAGGGUCUUUUACACAUGUGUAUUUAUCAUGAAUUCUUGUUCAAAGAACUAUUUUUUAUGGUUCAAGAAGCAAAAUUAAUUUAAAUCAGCAGCUAAUGCACAGUUCUCAAUUCCAUGAGUCAACUGGAUACUGCUGACAUUUUUAUAUGGAGCCUCCUUUAAUGUAAUAAAAAGUAUGGCACUAAAUGGUGUCUGAUAUGGGAAGGGGUAGAAUACUCAUUGUCUGAAACCCACAUGGCGAUGUUCUGGGUCAUGUCGUGAGCCAUAGGUAGCACUCCGUUGGCUUCAUGUUCUCUAUUGUCUUAUAGUUGACUCGUAGUGACAAUGGAAUGGUGUCAUCAGUUGCUAAUUUUUACAUUCAUAUGUUGCAAAACUAAGGUGGCUAAUCCAUGAAUGCGCAUGCCUGUCAUUCUCUAUCAGAAUAGCAAAUAAAAUUCAUUAUUGCAUGCUCAGAAUCCCUAACAUAAGCCAGUAAAAGCAUUACAAGGAACUUGCCUUCAGUGCUGUAUACAUGUACUGUGAGCUUGCAUUUGGUCUGAGUAUUCAGGACUCCAGGGCUCAGCCUCUAACAGGGCUGGAUUCCUUAGCAGAGUAAGAGCUUACGGCUCUGUGCAGCUCUCUCUGUGCAUCUGCUGGCAGCCAGGUGCUCCUUGUAGGACAGAGUAUGUAAUUAUGAAUAUUUUAAAUGUGGGUAGUUGAUCCCUUUUCUAUUCAGCAUGUAGCUGUGAGUGAAGCGGCAGACAAUGGCCAGAAUACUCUUUGUGUUUGCCUGAAUUUAUCUGAGAAUACUGAAGUAAAGAGCCAAAGGGCUCUAUUCUCCCCUUCCCAGAUACACAGGGAAGAACAGAAUCCAGUCUUUGUCUGGGUGGUUAAUUUUUAAAAUGAUAUGUGAAGGAUAAUGCAUGAAUAACUAACAGCCCUGGGGGGCUCAGGAAAAUUGUAUUUCACCAGGAGGAACAAAUAUAUGCUGUUUUUGAAAUGGAAGGGCUAUACUAAGGAUUCAGAUAUGAAGAAGUAGAUUUUUGAUAAGAAGAUAUUGAGAUACAUAAAACUGGUAUCAGAGGCAGCAAGGAAUGUAAUAAAAAUAUUCUGGCUUUGAGCCCCAGAUGUGCCACUCACUGACUAUGCGAUGUUGGACUUUAGGUCAUCUCUCCAAGCCUUAGUUUUCUCAUCACCAUAAUAGGGAGAUUAGGCCAGAUUAUCUCCCUAGUUUCUUCUUAGUCGACUUACCUGUGAUCCUGUGACAUGCUCUCUUAAGAUAAAUGUGCACUCACACCUCUUUUCAAGGUGUGAUCGCUAAGGAGUGACUGCUACAGCUCAAGAAAGACUUUUGUUGAGUGCCUAAUGUUGAGCCAACACAGGAUCAAGCAGUAAGGGUAUAAGCAAAAAAAGUUAUCAACUGUACUGGUGGUGCUGAGAUGAAGAAGAGGCCUGAAACAGAGGACAAAUUGGGAGCUGUAGAGUAUGAGCUUAGAGAACAUCAGAUGGGAGACGUCAGUGUAGUUGCACAAGCAUGAGGAUGAGAUUUGAACGAAAAUGUGAGCUGAGCUUUAGAGGAUAGAUAGGAUUUGGGUAGGUUAAAAAAAAAAAGAAUAGAUCAUUCCUGGUUGGAGGCUGAAUCAGUCAGGUUCCUUGUAGGAAACAGAUGAUUCAAUCAAACUGGGUACUGAGAAGAGUUUAGUAAAGAGAUCAUUUACACAGGUGUUGCCAGGGCUGAGGAAAACCAACACAGGUGGUGCUGUACCCUGGGCUAGUGACAGUGGUGAGCCAUGACCACCCUGAAAUAGCAAGGGGUAGGCGUGGGGACCACAACCAGACCUGACUGUCUGAAGGGAGGAGAAGCCUUCAGUAGAAGGAUUGUUGGAGACCAACAGAUUGCACACUGGCAAGCAGGAAUCGGGGAAAAAAAUGCCCAAAUAUCUUUCUUCCCUCUCCUUGUAUUAGUCUGUUCUCACACUGCUACUAAAGACAUACUUGAGACUGAGUAAUUUAUCAAGGAAAGAGAUUUAAUUGACUCACAAUUCCACAUGGCUGGGGGGGCCUCAAAAUCAUGGUGGAAGGCAGAUGAGGAGCAAAGUCAUGUCUUACAUGGUGGCAGGCAAGAGGACUUGUGCAGGGGAACUCCCAUUUUAUCAAACUAUCAGAGCUCAUGAGACUUAUUGACUAGUAGAACAGUAAGGGGGAAACUGCCUCCGUGAUUCAAUUAUCUCCGCCUGGCCCACCCCUGACAUGUGGGGAUAAUUACAAUUCAAGGUGAGAUUUGGGUGGGAACACAGCCAAACCACAUCACUCCUUCAAUUUUUUUCUGGUAGAUAGUGAAGGUCAGCACCUGUGGGAAAGGAUGAAAAAUGGGUCUGAAGAAGCAAAUGGAAGAACUCAGCAGAGCAGGAGAUGUGAAUGCUCACAGAGAUACAGCUAGAGACCAGCAUGAAUGGUGGAAGUCUCUUGGUAGAGUCUUGCAAGUUGGGAAGAGAAAUCACACAUGUUCCGCCCCUGAGCAGUGUCCCCUUGAUUGCAGCACCGUAUUAGAUUGCUGCAGGAGUGUGGGUGUGUGUGAAAGAGCUUGCAGAACACCCCCUAACAUUCCUGGCCAUGGUGAGGGUGCCCACGAUGCCCACCCAUCCAAACGUUUCCUUUGUGGAGAGACAAACUUAAAUAGCUCCUCUCUUCUCAUUCUUACCUCCAAUCUCAGCAGCCAAGUACGUGUUAAAGAGGGAGGGAAUACUGGAGCCUCAGCAAAUAAUGAUACAAGUAGAACUCUUGCUUUUCACAUGAGAACUCACCCUGGUAGGCCUCCAAUGCUCCAUUUCACACCUUGCUGUCAUCCAUCUAGAACUUGCCUUCUCUUGGCUUGUCCUGGCACACCAGGUACCUGCCAUUACUCUUUAAUUGGUCUGCUUUUCCUUCCUUAUUCUUCCUUCUGAUUUCCUAAUUAAAAAAAAAAACUAAUCUCAACUAUGGGAAAAGGGGAAAUGUCAAAUACAAAGUUUACCUUCUUCAUGAUUUUGCUCUGGGCCAUUAAAACUAAGUGGGGUUGUAGAUCCUUUCUUCAGAAAGGCAUUGAGAUGACUGUAAAAUGGCUCAUUUGUCUGGAAAGUAGUAAAUGUAGUAGUAUAUAAAAACAUAAAAUGAUGUAGAAGACUUCUUUACUCCUUGUUGCCCCUUUAAUCUAGUAAUAACUCACGGGGGAAUAUGUGGUGUUCUUAUAAGAAGCUCAUCUUAAGCAUAAGAACCUCAUAUUAAGAAUUUUUUGGCAUGCAAAUAUAAGAACCCAAUGCAAUCUUUUACACAGGAUUGAUUUUGGUUUUUGUUAAGAAUUUGCAACUUCCAGAAUAUAUUUUGGAAUCAGUAUAAUUAAUUCCCAUGUCUUACAUCUCUUUUCAUAUUUCUAAAAGUCUAUACUUUCUCGAGAAUAUGUAUAAUGAGGCACAAUACUCUUCACUGUCUGUAUUGUACUCUACUUAUCAAGCCUAGAAAUGGGCUAAAUGUUAAAUAUGUAUGUUUCAGGUUAUACAGAACUCAAUAAUGUCAGUUAAUUGAGAAAUUUCUUACUUUGUCCUUUUAAUUCAUUGAAAUAAAACUCAUGCUUUGCUUAUCUGGAGGUUUUAAAAGUUAGAUUGUGCAAAACUCAUUGUCUUAGUCUAUUCCUGUUGCUAUUGCAAAAUACUUGAGACUGGGUGAUAUAUAAUAACAGAAACCUACUUCUCACAGUUUUUGAGGCUGGGAAGUCCAAGAUUAAGGUUCUGACAGAUUUGGUGUCUGGUGAGGACUUGCUCUCUGCUUCCAAGACCAUGUCUGUUGCUGCUUCUUCUGGAGGUGACAGAUGCUAUGUUCUCACGUGGUAGAAGAGAGAAGAGGUGCAAGGACCAAGCAGCUCUCUGAAGCCUGUUUUAUAAGGAUAUUUAUCCCAUUCACGAAUGCAGAUCCCCCAUGGCCUAAUCACCUCCUGAAGUCCCUACCUCUUAAUACCAUCACCUUGGGGUUUACAUUCCAACAUAUGAACCUUGGAGGGGACGCAUAUAUUUAAACCAUGGCAUUAAUUAAUGCAGUUCUUUUAUUGUCCUAAAAGAUUGAGUUAAUACCAAUAGAUGAAAGUUAAUUCAAACGAAGCUGUCUCAAAUAAAGUAAGAUGAUAACUGGAGGGAUUCAAGUAGAAGCUGACUGUUCUUGGCUGUUGUGAAAUGAGAGGAUUCAGCUAUUUAUGAAAAGAUCUGGCUUCAAGGGCUUCUAAGCCCUGAGUUCUCAGACUACCUGAAAACUGAAACUGAUAAGCUCACUCACAAAUACUCAGAGAAACAUGGUACCUGGUAUGGAAAAGAAUCUGUUUUUUCAAGAAUCUUUUUGUUUUCUAAAAGAUUAUUUGGCACUUUACUUAGAAAUUUUUAUAGAAAAUCAUUUUGAUUUUAUAAACUUCUUACUUCUCACCCUGGCAUUGUCAUCUUGAUCAAAUAUAACUUUUUUAUAUUGGGGUCUUUUUAUUAUUAAAUCCUAUUUGUAUCAGAA